Mastomys coucha (southern multimammate mouse) is the source of this 651-nucleotide long non-coding RNA. RefSeq lists it as uncharacterized. The record is from RefSeq and is a predicted model, not a curated record. The transcript is spliced from 3 exons. Lineage: Eukaryota; Metazoa; Chordata; Mammalia; Rodentia; Muridae.
CUGCCAGACUGUGUGGGGUACCUGGUCUUCAGGUUCUCCUGGAAGAGUGGCUGGGAGAGCAGAUGGCGUAACUCCUGCUUCAGAAUCUUCAUCUGCUUCUGUCGCCGACGCUCUUCUUGCUGGUCAGCUUUUCCUCCUUGAGACACACAAUUAUAAGAUCAUGUUUACACAGAAAUACUUUCUCUGGUUUGACAGAUCACCUAAGUGAAUAACUCCUGUUUAGGAGGGAUACAGUAGACCACUGUCCUUCACUGUUCAGGAAACCAGUAAAGACAAUUUACAGUCAUGGAGUCCAAGGCAUAUGAAGCAUAUGAGGCGGUCGGACAGAUAAGAAAGGCCCAAGGCAUCAGGCCCAUACAGAAGCAGCAGCUAUAAGACAGGAAAAGGGUACCUUGCUGCUCCUGAUGGGAUCACAGAAGCAAGGAUGGUCUCAACCAGGCCUAGGAGGCAUCUCCUUGCUGAAGGAACUGUCACUGGUGGCAGGCUUUGAGCUCACAAAAGCUGGGUACCAUUUCCAGUGUACUCUCUCUGAUUCUUAUUUGCAACAGAUCUCAGCUGCUACUCUACCCACUUCCCACCUGUUAUCUCUACUCCCUCCUCAGGAGCUCACACCUCUGGAACCAUGAGCCAAAUAAACUGUUUCUUCUCUAA